Molecule: ribosomal RNA, 515 nt
Filed under: uncultured bacterium
Lineage: Bacteria
Description: bacterial SSU rRNA
Rfam family: Bacterial small subunit ribosomal RNA
Source: RNAcentral
UAGUCCACGCCGUAAACGAUGAUUACUAGAAGUUUGGAAUUAUUUGAGCUUCUAAGGGAAACCGACAAGUAAGCCACCUGGGGAGUACGUUCGCAAGAAUGAAACUCAAAGGAAUUGACGGGGGCCCGCACAAGCGGUGGAGCAUGUGGUUUAAUUCGAUGAUACGCGAGGAACCUUACCAGGGCUUAAAUGUAGUCUGACAGCUUUAGAGAUAGAGUUUUCUUCGGACAGAUUACAAGGUGCUGCAUGGUUGUCGUCAGCUCGUGCCGUGAGGUGUCAGGUUAAGUCCUAUAACGAGCGCAACCCCUGUUGUUAGUUGCCAGCGAGUAAUGUCGGGAACUCUAGCAAGACUGCCGGUGCAAACCGCGAGGAAGGUGGGGAUGACGUCAAAUCAUCACGGCCCUUACGUCCUGGGCCACACACGUGCUACAAUGGUAGGUACAGAGAGCAGCCACUUGGCGACAAGGAGCGAAUCUAUAAAACCUAUCACAGUUCGGAUCGGAGUCUGCAACUCG